RNAcentral lists this ribosomal RNA (434 nucleotides) under uncultured Clostridium sp. RNAcentral describes it as "partial 16S ribosomal RNA". It matches the Rfam family "Bacterial small subunit ribosomal RNA", at positions 341 to 792 of the family's 1533-position model. The record is from RNAcentral. Lineage: Bacteria; Bacillati; Bacillota; Clostridia; Eubacteriales; Clostridiaceae.
ACGGGAGGCAGCAGUGGGGAAUAUUGCACAAUGGGCGCAAGCCUGAUGCAGCAACGCCGCGUGAGGGAAGAAGGUCUUCGGAUUGUAAACCUAAGUUGUCAGGGACGAUAAUGACGGUACCUGAAGAGAAAGCUCCGGCUAACUACGUGCCAGCAGCCGCGGUAAUACGUAGGGAGCGAGCGUUGUCCGGAUUUACUGGGUGUAAAGGGUGCGUAGGCUGGUUUGCAAGUCAGGCGUGAAAUCCCACGGCUUAACUGUGGGGCUGCGCUUGAAACUGUAGAUCUUGAGUGAAGUAGAGGCAAGCGGAAUUCCUAGUGUAGCGGUGAAAUGCGUAGAUAUUAGGAGGAACACCAGUGGCGAAGGCGGCUUGCUGGGCUUUAACUGACGCCGAGGCACGAAAGUAUGGGGAGCAAACAGGAUUAGAUACCCUGGUA